Molecule: long non-coding RNA, 234 nt
Organism: Rhagoletis pomonella (apple maggot)
Lineage: Eukaryota; Metazoa; Arthropoda; Insecta; Diptera; Tephritidae
Exons: 3
Source: RefSeq, a predicted model, not a curated record
ACUUUCUUUUAUAAUUAAACUUCUUGCUGCGCGGAGCAACACUAAAGGAUUUAAAUAUUUUAAAUGUAGAUAAAUAUUUAAGAACGUGCUGGUGGAAAAUUAUUAUAGAUGAGGUAGCAGAACUUUUCUCGUGGAAGGGAACUGGUACCAAAAGCAGAGCUAUUGGUUUGGCAACGACUGCGGCAAUAAGAAGUGCUUUUCGUCAAAAAUUUAACUCCGACGAAGAAGUUUUUA